Molecule: ribosomal RNA, 468 nt
Filed under: uncultured bacterium
Lineage: Bacteria
Description: partial 16S ribosomal RNA
Rfam family: Bacterial small subunit ribosomal RNA
Source: RNAcentral
GACGAACGCUGGCGGCGUGCUUAACACAUGCAAGUCGAACGGAAAGGCCCUGCUUUUGUGGGGUGCUCGAGUGGCGAACGGGUGAGUAACACGUGAGUAACCUGCCCUUGACUUUGGGAUAACUUCAGGAAACUGGGGCUAAUACCGGAUAGGAGCUCCUGCUGCAUGGUGGGGGUUGGAAAGUUUCGGCGGUUGGGGAUGGAAUCGCGGCUUAUCAGCUUGUUGGUUGGGUAGUGGCUUACCAAGGCUUUGACGGGUAGCCGGCCUGAGAGGGUGACCGGCCACAUUGGAACUGAGAUACGGCACAGACUCCUACGGGAGGCAGCAGUGGGGAGUAUUGCACAAUGGGAGGAAGCCUGAUGCAGUAACGCCGCGUGCGGGAUGACGGGCUUCGGGUUGUAAACCGCUUUCGCCUGUGACGAAGCGUGAGUGACGGUAAUGGGUAAAGAAGCACCGGCUAACUACGUG